RNAcentral lists this ribosomal RNA (765 nucleotides) under uncultured Streptococcus sp. RNAcentral's name for it is "bacterial SSU rRNA". It matches the Rfam family "Bacterial small subunit ribosomal RNA", at positions 28 to 776 of the family's 1533-position model. The record is from RNAcentral. Lineage: Bacteria; Bacillati; Bacillota; Bacilli; Lactobacillales; Streptococcaceae.
GACGAACGCCGGCGGCGUGCCUAAUACAUGCAAGUAGAACGCUGAAGAGAGGAGCUUGCUCUUCUUGGAUGAGUUGCGAACGGGUGAGUAACGCGUAGGUAACCUGCCUUGUAGCGGGGGAUAACUAUUGGAAACGAUAGCUAAUACCGCAUAACAAUGGAUGACACAUGUCAUUUAUUUGAAAGGGGCAAUUGCUCCACUACAAGAUGGACCUGCGUUGUAUUAGCUAGUAGGUGAGGUAACGGCUCACCUAGGCGGCGAUACAUAGCCGACCUGAGAGGGUGAUCGGCCACACUGGGACUGAGACACGGCCCAGACUCCUACGGGAGGCAGCAGUAGGGAAUCUUCGGCAAUGGGGGCAACCCUGACCGAGCAACGCCGCGUGAGUGAAGAAGGUUUUCGGAUCGUAAAGCUCUGUUGUAAGUCAAGAACGAGUGUGAGAGUGGAAAGUUCACACUGUGACGGUAGCUUACCAGAAAGGGACGGCUAACUACGUGCCAGCAGCCGCGGUAAUACGUAGGUCCCGAGCGUUGUCCGGAUUUAUUGGGCGUAAAGCGAGCGCAGGCGGUUUGGUAAGUCUGAAGUUAAAGGCUGUGGCUCAACCAUAGUUCGCUUUGGAAACUGUCAAACUUGAGUGCAGAAGGGGAGAGUGGAAUUCCAUGUGUAGCGGUGAAAUGCGUAGAUAUAUGGAGGAACACCGGUGGCGAAAGCGGCUCUCUGGUCUGUAACUGACGCUGAGGCUCGAAAGCGUGGGGAGCGAACAGG